AUGUCUUUGAUUCUUUAAAUGCUCUGCUUGAGAUAGGAAGAGAACUCAUAACAGAACACAGUAAAGUCAGGGCACCCAUCUCGUUGCUACUACUUGAAAGACUUCCAUGAGAUAUUGAUGUGCAUCUUUGCCUGACAGUGGAAGAUAAUAUACGUGACAGAUGAAUUGAUGGACCGCAGCAGUAGGGUGAUGUGAAACAGGAACGGCUUGGAAACCACAAGGACCACUGUAUACACUGGUGGAUUUGUACCAUAGCUUAGGACAAUGUGACAGCAAGAUAAGACUUGUCAACAAUAGAUGAUCCCAUAGCAGCUGUAUAUACAGAAAGGAACAAAAAAAGCUUAUUCAGGAUAUAAAAAAACUACAUUUGUGGAUAGGAAAAAUAAUAUACCGAGCCACAUAACAAUUCUGUGUACUUGUAUAUAUAACCUGGAUUCUCCUCUUGAGUAAAAAAAAAUGGGAAAUACUCAAUCAUGAGGUGAUCCUUCAAAAAAAGAACUUACCUUCAUACCACUGAUACCAGGAAGAUUGUUGGGUAAUAAUCUGUGCAACAGAAAUAUAGUAAACAUACCCCGGGUGUAAUGUUAGGCAUGCAGACCAGGAAGGUGGAGUAAAAUUCCCAGGGAUUCACUUUACAGCGCUGAUAGCUAUAGAGUUUAUUUCACACAGUGGAAAAGGGACAGAGGCAAUGGAAAUGUUGUACAACAUCUACUACCAUUGCUGGUGGCAUAUACUUGUAGUUCUAUGUAUAAUACUUACAUUGUGGGAAUCGGGAUCAUCCCAGUAUACUCUUAUAAAACCAGACAACACAGUAGUAUUCAAAAGUGAAAAUUACAACAGUAAUUGUAGUUAUAAGGGAUACUACCGCUACUUGGAGAUAUUAAAUGCUUCUGGAUCUCCUGCUCUAUUUGUUGGUGCCAGGGAUUAUGUAUUCAAACUGAACCUAGAAAAUAUAAGUGACAGUGCAUCAUCAAAUUCUAUACACCCAGAAAAUUAUGAAACUUGCGACACAAACAAUCAACAGGGAAGCACAAGCAGCAAGUGUUUCCAAUGUGGAAAUCAUGUGAGAGUGAUUGUCUGGCAGAAAGAUGACAGCGAGUUCUAUAUUUGUGGAACAGGAGCCAAGAAGCCACAGGAUUUCAUUCUAUUUGCUAACCUGACUGUAAGAAAAAAUGGAACUUCCAGCAGUGGAGUGGCCAAAUGUCCAUUUGAUCCUGAUGAUAAUGCUACAGCAGUCUGGGUUGAGAAAGGCAACCCUGGCAAUGUAUCAGUCUUGUAUUCUGGUACAGUGGCAGAUGCUGUAAAGUCCGACCCUGUAAUCUACAGACCUGAAAUACGCAAAGAUGGAAAUAUUGAGAGCAAACUAGUGAGAACUGUGCGCUAUGAUUCCAAGUGGCUUAAUGAACCACAUUUUGUUGCCUCUUUUGACAUCAGUACAGAUGAUGAGGAGUACGUGUAUUUCUUUUUCCGAGAGACAGCGGCAGAGUUUGUGAACUGUGGGAAGGCAGUGUAUGCCAGAGUGGCCCGAGUAUGCAAGGAUGACAAAGGAGGGCGCAAUGCAUUAAAAGACAACUGGACCACCUAUCUCAAGGCAAGACUCAACUGCUCACUGCCUGGAGAGUUUCCAUUUUAUUUUAAUGAGCUGCAGGAUGUUGUUAGAGUGAACAAUGCAUUUUAUGCUACUUUUACAACAAAUCUCAAUGGGUUUUAUGGUUCAGCAGUGUGCACUUUUGACUUGUCAACCAUAGAAGAUGUAUUCAACAAUGGCAAGUUCAAGGAACAAAAGGAUGCCACAUCCAACUGGCUUCCAGUUCAAGAAAGUAAUGUGCCACAGCCAAGACCAGGAAAGUGCUCUAACAACUCGCUGGGCCUGGAUGAUACCAUCAUCAACUUCAUCUAUUCCCGCCCCCUUAUGGACCAAGCUAUUCCAAUGAGAGAGGGGAGACCAUUGUACUACAGAAGUGGAGUCAUCUUCAGAAAAAUUGCUGUAGAAAACAGUUUGGUGGCUGGACAAAGGGUGCUGUAUCUGGGCACAAAUAAUGCUAAAAUCUACAAAUUAGCCAGCACAGAGUCUUGUAGUCAGGUCAAUGAGGAGUGCACCAGCCUUAGCUCAGUUAUAGAGCCUUUACAAGAUGAUACCAUUUUAUGGAGCAUGAAAUAUUUUAAGCAUUCCAGUGGUAUGUCCAUGCUAUACCUGGGCACAGAUGACCAGGUGACCCAGGUGCCAGUUGAUGACCAGUGCAACCACUACAAGACCUGUGGUAGCUGUACACAUGACCCUCACUGUAACUGGGACGUCAGUAGUAAAAGCUGCACUGCUGACACAUCUAGCUCAAAGGCCACGUGCAGUGCCAUCAUACAUACAGAAACAGAGUCUGGAGCCGCUGUAGUUUUACAAGGAUCCACUAAUUAUAAAAAUUGGACACAUAAUGGCACAUUAAUGGAGUGUCAGCCAGUCAAUAAAACCUGUGUCAUGACGGCCACAGGUGAUCUGGUACUGUUGAAGCCUCGCAGUCCAAAGUCUGAGGGCGAAUACACAUGUAACCUAUAUGGAGGGGACAAGAUUACAUAUAACCUCACAGUGCUGAGUCCCCAAGAUGCAGCUCUAAAAAGAUACGAAGAAUGGUGUGAUAAGUUUGAUGAAUACAAGAACCUUGUGGAAGAAUAUAAGGAAAAUGCAUGCAAUGCAGGCUGUUUACGAAAUUUCACAUGUAGCUAGCCUACAUCCUGGCAGAUGGGAGAGCAAAUACAAGUACAGGGUCUGCCAUGUGUGUGUUUGGAUGCUGAGGCACAAGAAAGUAUGCUGUGUUGCAGCCUUCAGAUUGAAGCACACAGUGGAAGGAAUAACCUACCAGACUUAGUUUAGUUCAAAAGCAAAUUCCAAUUCUGAAUAAGCAUUAUCAGAAGUUGAAAUGACAGGCAAAAUGCUCCUGACAUUUUGAUUUUGGAAACCAUCGUUUUGUGAGAUUGAUCGUAGACAUCAUUUUGAUGUUGUGCUGUGGAUCUCCAGAAGAGACGGUAAAUUACUGACGGCAAGAAAGAUGGUUUCGUCUAGACAGAUUGAGAGAUUCAGACGGGCAGACAGUAUCUCUUCAGUUGCCAAUCAAUGCGAUGGCAAACCAUUUUCAGCCUUGUUUUUCUCUUAUGUUCUUAUCUGUGAUACUUGACAGCUGAGUCGGCUGAAUGAAGACAUGGAACAAAACAAUAAAAGGAAAAAAAACUUGAUGAACAUGAGUAAUGCAGCUGAGCUGCAGCAGAAUUUUCUUUCCCCAUUUUAUCAUAGUGGAUGUCUAGAUGCAGUGCACCUCAAGCAGUGGAAUCACUGGCAGGGCUUGGUAACCUUAAUCUAGCACCACACUUUACUAUGGAUUUGUUUGAGCCACAGCUUCCCAUCCUCUCUAUACCAGCAGAAGUAUUGCUGGAGCCAAUAUGUUCAUAAUAGACAAGGAGGUCCCUUGCACCAGUAGACAUUUUAGAAUAGGACAGACAGUAGUCUCUUUUUUUAUUGUAUUUAGAAAUCUGGCAGAAUUUUAUUGAAUGCAAAGUAUGCAUAUAUCAGUAAUUAUUUUAGUUGCAUUUUCAUUGUGCAGUAAUUCCAUGUUUGACUGAAUUUAUAUUGUUAAUGUCUCAUAAUCUUUCAAAAAAAAAAUGCUGUCCUAUUAGAAUUAAUUAGAACAACUUACAUGUUUAAUAAUGUAAAUUUACAAUCUUGAUAGUAUGCAAACUUAGAUGAUAUUAUUCUAGACACAAAACUUACUUCAAUCAAAAACAGGAUUAUCUAAAAUACACAUUUCCACCAUGACAUUGCUUUCACCUGCUGUAUACAUGACAUAAGAAAUUCUUGAUUUUAUUUACAAAAAGGAGCUGUCCUCUUUUUAUAUAAGUGUGUAUAAUUUACAUAAAAAUGAGAUGUCUAAUUUGGUUUAAAAUUACAGGUAAUUGACUGAAUUUACAUCCUAUCUGUAAUUAUAUUUGAUUUGUCAUUCUGCAAUAUUGUAGGUUACGUAGCAAAAGAGGGACCAAACUUGCACUUACCACACCACGCCAUGGCACUGGCAGUAAAACAGUAUUAAUGUGGGGCAGGUUACAUGAUAGGAAGAAAAUAUUAGUAAUAGGUUUUAUAAGCAUCUGUUACAAAUUCAUAGCACUAAUGGAAGUAGUCCCUGUAGAUAGUGUAUUAAUUGUUUAUAUUCGGUAAUUGCAUUUGUACAUGAUCAGGUUAAUUUUGUUAAUUCAUUUGCGUAAUUUAUUAACAGUAUAUGUAUAUAUAUAUAUAUAAAAUAAAUUCUUUUUUAAUGUUCAGUUAUUUCUCUUUUUUGACCUUUUCUCAUCCUAUGUGGAAAUAAAACUAAGCACUAGUGACAUAUUGUUUUCAAAAUAGUAAUUAUAAAUAUGUACAGUAGAGAUGUAAGUUAUGCAAAAAUAGUAAUUAUAAAAAUAUACCUAAAACUGCCCUAUCACAACAUAUUCUUCACAGCUACCAUCCAAGAUAGCUUGUUUGGCAUCAUGCUGAGUAUAUGUAUAUAACACAUCUUAUGAACUAAAAAUGCAUUUUGAUGAUAUGCAAGAUUCAAAAUAUAAUUCUGCAAAAUAAAAUAUUCAAAUGUUUCCCAGCAGCAACUUCAAUUCUAGGAAAUGAAAGUGUGUUUCCAUAAGUGAACGCAGCAAACCA
RNAcentral lists this unclassified non-coding RNA (4672 nucleotides) under Lingula anatina. RNAcentral describes it as "semaphorin-2A, transcript variant X12". Lineage: Eukaryota; Metazoa; Brachiopoda; Lingulata; Lingulida; Lingulidae. The record is from RNAcentral.